GCCAGUGUGGCAUAGUGGUUCGUGUGUUAAACUACAACAUUGGAGACUAGGGUUCGAUUCCCAGUUUGGCC
Non-coding RNA from Phrynosoma platyrhinos (Desert horned lizard), 71 nucleotides. NCBI's taxonomy places the organism in Eukaryota, Metazoa, Chordata, Lepidosauria, Squamata, Phrynosomatidae. The record is from the annotation of a GenBank genome assembly.